Mastacembelus armatus (zig-zag eel) is the source of this 55-nucleotide small nuclear RNA. Its record names the gene U7. It matches the Rfam family "U7 small nuclear RNA". Rfam says of the family: Animal histone pre-mRNAs are spliced by a different mechanism than nuclear pre-mRNAs and self-splicing introns. Lineage: Eukaryota; Metazoa; Chordata; Actinopteri; Synbranchiformes; Mastacembelidae. The record is from Ensembl.
GAAAACUUGCUCUUUAGUUAUUUGUCCAGCAGGUUUCUCAUACAGAGAAGCCCAU